ACUUAAGAAAAUAAGUUCAAGCGGUGGAUGCCUUGGCAUUCAGAGGCGAUGAAGGACGUGAUAAUCUGCGAUAAGCUUCGG
RNAcentral lists this ribosomal RNA (81 nucleotides) under Francisella tularensis subsp. holarctica. Its description in RNAcentral is "partial 23S ribosomal RNA". It matches the Rfam family "Bacterial large subunit ribosomal RNA", at positions 1 to 81 of the family's 2925-position model. Lineage: Bacteria; Pseudomonadati; Pseudomonadota; Gammaproteobacteria; Thiotrichales; Francisellaceae. The record is from RNAcentral.